This 644-nucleotide ribosomal RNA is filed under the name fungal endophyte. RNAcentral describes it as "eukaryotic LSU rRNA". The stretch from base 180 to 333 matches the Rfam family "5.8S ribosomal RNA". The record is from RNAcentral. Lineage: Eukaryota; Fungi.
UUAAAGAGUUCUAUAACUCCCAAACCCAUGUGAACAUACCUAACGUUGCCUCGGCAGGUCGCACCUACCUUGUAGCACCCUACCCUGUAGGGCCUACCCGGGAGGUGCGGGUAAGCCUGCCGGCGGCCCACCAAACUCUGUUUGAUAUUGAAUUCUGAACCUAUAACUAAAUAAGUUAAAACUUUCAACAACGGAUCUCUUGGUUCUGGCAUCGAUGAAGAACGCAGCGAAAUGCGAUAAGUAAUGUGAAUUGCAGAAUUCAGUGAAUCAUCGAAUCUUUGAACGCAUAUUGCGCCCAUUAGUAUUCUAGUGGGCAGGACCGUUCGAGCGUCAUUUCAACCCUUAAGCCUUCGUUGCUUAGUGUUGGGAGCCUACGGCAACGUAGCUCCUCAAAGUUAGUGGCGGAGUUGGUUCACACUCUAGACGUAGUAAUUUUUUAUCUCGCCUAUUAGUUGGACUAAUCCCCUGCCGUAAAACCCCCAAUUUAUCAAGGUUGACCUCGAAUCGGUUCAGACAAACUCGCUAAAUUGAAGCAUCUUAGUCAGCGAAGGAAAAGAAACCAACAGGGAUUGCCCUAGUAACGGCGAGUGAAGCGGCAACAGCUCAAAUUUGAAAUCUGGCCCUCGGGUCCGAGUUGUAAUUUG